This 1194-nucleotide long non-coding RNA is filed under the name Naja naja (Indian cobra). RNAcentral's name for it is "lncRNA (ENSNNAG00000012802.1)". The record is from RNAcentral. Lineage: Eukaryota; Metazoa; Chordata; Lepidosauria; Squamata; Elapidae.
UAAAUGCAAGUUAGUAAGUAGGUAUUUUUUAAUACUUUUUAAAUACCGUAUCAGAUAUCCUGGCUAUUAAUUUAUAUAUAAAUACGCAAAUAGCAUUCUAACAACUCUUAUGGUAAGCCUUUAAUAGUCAAUUUUAGCAGAGAGAUAGAAAAAUAAACUGUUGUACAGUCUUUGUACUAUAAAAUGUGUCAGGAAAUAGAACUGUAAGAGUGCCAACAACUGUGUUUCAUGUCUUUACUAAUUUCUAAAAUCAUUGUAUGCCUACAAACAGAAUGAAAUCUGAACAGUCCUGCCACAUUUAUUUUGUAGAAUAGAAGGUCCAUUCAUUCAAACUGUUUGCCCAUAAUUCAUUUAAUUGUCCGUUGGUCUUGACUCACAUAAGAAGCGGAACUAUAAAGUACACUGCGCAGAUUUACAUACAAUAGUAGCCUAAAUUCUUUUGGCUAAUAUGCAGUACAGAGUUUUGUGGAAACCAAUAUGGCUUCAUUGAUUUUUUUUUCUAAAAUGUGUAAAUCCAAUGUACUAUGGUUUAAUAUGCUGUGAUCAAACAAGCCAUGACUUGUUACUAUAAAGUUUGAUAUCCACUGACAUACUAACUGAACAAAAGUGCUAAAAAUCGUAUAUUGAAUCUGUUCUACAGGGACAAAACAGAAAAAGAUCUUAGUUGAUCUCUAUAAUUAAUUGACCAAAUAAGAACUGCAAGUACAAUAGAAGCUCAGUGUCAUUCUGAUUUAGCAGUGACUGUCCACAUUUCCUCUGGAAAGAAGUAUUCCAAAGGAAGAAGUUACAUGUAAAAGUUAAGAUAGUUAUGUUAAUUUAUAUAGUGCAUAGUGAUGUCAUUUUAGUGUUAUGGAAACCUUUCUGGAAGCCUUAAGUUUGAACUUACUCAAAAGAGAUAUUUGAUAAUGUUUAUUCUCUCUUUCUCUCAAGUUCUACAGACAGUUCUAGAUGCUUUUAUGCAACAAUUGAUAUUAAAGUACAGAAACAUCAACCUGACAACAAAGACAUCUACCAAGUGGCAUACUUUCAGAGACAGAAGACUUGCCUGCUAAAACCUGGAAAAUUGUGUGCAACAUCUCCACCUGCUGGCAUCUCCAAUUUAAAAACAAUUGUACAGAGCUUUUAUCAUGAUUCCUUAAAAAAAUCUUACCUAAGAAGUACAUCGAAUAUAACUUACUUCAUGUAAGAUGUAAU